UUGGAAACGACUGCUAAUACCGCAUAACGUCUACGGACCAAAGGGGGGGACGCUUCGGCACCUCUCGCUCAUUGAUUAGCCCAAGUGAGAUUAGCUAGUUGGUAAGGUAAUGGCUUACCAAGGCGACGAUCUCUAGCUGGUUUGAGAGGAUGAUCAGCCACACUGGGACUGAGACACGGCCCAGACUCCUACGGGAGGCAGCAG
RNAcentral lists this ribosomal RNA (204 nucleotides) under Chaetoceros dichaeta. RNAcentral's name for it is "partial Bacterial small subunit ribosomal RNA". It matches the Rfam family "Bacterial small subunit ribosomal RNA", at positions 150 to 354 of the family's 1533-position model. Lineage: Eukaryota; Bacillariophyta; Thalassiosirophyceae; Chaetocerotales; Chaetocerotaceae. The record is from RNAcentral.